GAAACGGUAGCUAAUACCGCAUAACGUCGCAAGACCAAAGAGGGGGACCUUCAGGCCUCUUGCCAUCGGAUGUGCCCAGAUGGGAUUAGCUUGUUGGUGGGGUAACGGCUCACCAAGGCGACGAUCCCUAGCUGGUCUGAGAGGAUGACCAGCCACACUGGAACUGAGACACGGUCCAGACUCCUACGGGAGGCAGCAGUGGGGAAUAUUGCACAAUGGGCGCAAGCCUGAUGCAGCCAUGCCGCGUGUAUGAAGAAGGCCUUCGGGUUGUAAAGUACUUUCAGCGGGGAGGAAGGGAGUAAAGUUAAUACCUUUGCUCAUUGACGUUACCCGCAGAAGAAGCACCGGCUAACUCCGUGCCAGCAGCCGCGGUAGUACGGAGGGUGCAAGCGUUAAUCGGAAUUACUGGGCGUAAAGCGCACGCAGGCGGUUUGUUAAGUCAGAUGUGAAAUCCCCGGGCUCAACCUGGGAACUGCAUCUGAUACUGGCAAGCUUGAGUCUCGUAGAGGGGGGUAGAAUUCCAGGUGUAGCGGUGAAAUGCGUAGAGAUCUGGAGGAAUACCGGUGGCGAAGGCGGCCCCCUGGACGAAGACUGACGCUCAGGUGCGAAAGCGUGGGGAGCAAACAGGAUUAGAUACCCUGGUAGUCC
RNAcentral lists this ribosomal RNA (648 nucleotides) under uncultured bacterium. RNAcentral describes it as "bacterial SSU rRNA". It matches the Rfam family "Bacterial small subunit ribosomal RNA", at positions 153 to 796 of the family's 1533-position model. The record is from RNAcentral.